UAUCAUGCAGUCGAGCGGCUGGAUUAAGAGCUUGGUCUUAUGAACUUAGCGGCGGACGGGUGAGUAACACGUGGGUAACCUGCCCAUAAGACUGGGAUAACUCCGGGAAACCGGGGCUAAUACCGGAUAACAUUUUGAACCGCAUGGUUGCGAAAUUGAAAGGCGGCUUCGGCUGUCACCUAUAGAUGGACCCGAGUCGCAUUAGCUAGUUGGUGGAGGUAACGGCUCACCAAGGCAACGAUGCGUAGCCAACCUGAGAGGGUGAUCAGCCACACUGGGACUUGAGACACGGCCCAGACUCCUACCGGAGGCAGCAGUAUGGAAUCUUCCGCAAUGGACGAAAGUCUGACGCAGUCAACUGCCGCGUGAGUGAUGAAGGCUUUCGGGUCGUAAAACUCUGUUCAGUUAGGGAAGACACAAGUGCUAGUUGAAUAAGCUGGCACCUGGACGGUACCUAACCAGAAAGCCACGCCUAACUUACGUGCCAGCAGCCGCGGUAAUACGUACGUGCCAAGCGUUAUCCGGAAUUAAUUGGCGCGUAAAGCGCACGGCAGGCUGGUUUCUUAAGUCAUGAUGUUGAAAUGCCCAUCGGCUUCAACCUGUGAAGGGUCAUUGGAAACUGGCGAAGACAUGAGUGCCAGAAGAAGGAAAGUGGAAUUCCAUGUGUAGCGGUGAAAUGCGUAGAGAUUAUGGAGGAACACCAGUGGCGAAGGCGGACUUUCUGGUCUGUAGACUGACACUCAGGCGCGAAAGCGUGGGGAGCAAACCAGGAUUAGAUACCCUGGUAGUCCACGCCGUUAACGAAUCGACUGCUAAGUGUUAAGGGGUUUCCGCCCUUUAUUGCUGAAAUUAAAGCAUUAAACCACUCCGCCGGGGGAAGUACGGCCCCAAGGAUGAAAACAAAAAAAAAAAGGGGGGCCGGCACCCAAGCGGUGGAGCACUGUGGUUUAAUUCGGAAACACCGCGAAGAUCCUACCCCAGGUCUUGACAUCCUCUGAACCACCCCGAGAGAUAGGGCUCUCCUUCGGAACCGAGACUGACAGGUGGUGCCAUCGCUGUUUCGUCAGCUCAUGGUCGUGAAAGAUGGGCGGUUAAGUCCCGCACGGAGCCCAACCCUUGAUCUUAGCGCAGCUCAUCAAGUGGGCCACUCAAAGAGACUGCAGGUGGACAAACCGGAGGAAGGUGGGGAUGACGUCAAGUCAUCAUGCCCCUUAUGACUAGGCUUACACACGUGCUACAAUGGCAGUUGACAAAGUAGAAUGCUAAACCCGCGAGUGGCAAGCUAACUUCAUAAACGGCCUUUUUUAGUUCGGAUUGUAGUUUGCAAUUCGCUUCCAGGAAGUGGGAAUCGUUGUUAUUCGGGGAUCACCAUGCCGCGGGGAAUACGUUCCCGGCCCUGGUCCACACCGCCGGCCCCACCCGGGGAGUUGGACCACAGGAAGUAGGUGGGUUAACC
This 1456-nucleotide ribosomal RNA is filed under the name Bacillus cereus. RNAcentral's name for it is "bacterial SSU rRNA". It matches the Rfam family "Bacterial small subunit ribosomal RNA". The record is from RNAcentral. Lineage: Bacteria; Bacillati; Bacillota; Bacilli; Caryophanales; Bacillaceae.